ACCACGGCACAUUCAGUUAAAAAAAAUUCCCCAUCGUUUCUCAUCACUUAACAAUAGCAGAACGUAACAGCCCGAUGUACUGGUCAUAUUACGUGGUGGUUCAAUUGAGACAACAUGCUGGGAAUAUCCAGGCCUACACUGGAGGUCCGGAACAACUCACAUGGUUCAAUGACAUGGUUCAUUAGCAAACUAGAGCAAGGCCAAACUUCUCAGGUUAAUCCUAUCCCCAAAAUGCGACCAAAUUCCUAAAACACCAUGUUUCUCCAGGUUUUCCGCAAAACGAGAGUUCACCAAACUACCAUCAUCAGCUUCCUAAGCCAUCAGAGCACCUGCACCUGUUAGUUCUAAGAAAUGAACACGGAAAGUUAGUGAAAUGUAUGAAACUUCAGGGAUGUUUCAAUAUGAGCAUGAGGUGCAUUUCGGACAAGGAAAACGUGAUAUAAAAAAAAGACAAGGCGAUGUGUUGUUUUAAACAAACAGUCACUACUACAGUAGUACUUGGCGAGUGUGCAACAUGUUUAUUUUCUACCAGUGUCUUGAUUGAAGCAGAAAAACGGUAAUCACCUGUUGAGGAAUAACAAGCUUGAGUUUCAGGCUUGACUAGUGGUAAUACUUCAGGAAAAGGAAAGAAUAUAGUGAGUGGUCUUAUACACUAUACAACUUCAUGCCUAAUUUGCAGUUUCGAAUUUAAUCGGGUCUACUAGCUAAGAAACAAAUAUACACCCGGCUGAAAGGUGCAUGGUAAAACAAACACAAAUAUUGUCAGCACCACCAUCAAUACAAUAUACAAGCUAUUGAUAUAAGACUGCAUUGUGAGAUGAAUAUUUUCUAUAACAAAUGUCAGAAAUAUCAUUAACACUAGCAUAUAAUUAUGUAACUAGUAUUUUGAGUCCCAAACAAAGUACUCAUGCUGCUGAAAUACCAACCAGAAUCAAGCAAUGACGGUGUAGUAGGAUGCUGGUAUAUUGGACAAUAAUUAGUAGUCAUUGAGAAAGUACGCACAACAUUUAUAUCAAGUCAUGAACUAAAUGGGCUGAGUAUAUGUAAGACGAAUACAUCAUCCUAAACACGUGAAUGUAUGAUACUAUAUAGCAAGAAUGGGUCAAAUAAAAGACUUCAACCAAGAGAUACAUUGGCUGGUAACUUUGUACCUUCAUAUCUUCUAGCAUUUGUCUGCACGAACCAGAACAUCAGCUAAAGUUUGCUGUUUUGGGGCACCCUUCUUGCCUGAAAAGAAGUUCCUUUGGUCAAGAUAGAAGAACUUGAAUGACAGCCACCAUAAUAACACAUAAUUUUUUUAUAAAUGGGUGGCGUCAACAUCAUAAAAUUAGUGCUUCCUGAGAGCAUCAUUUAACAUAAUUUUUCUGUUGUUCUAAUAUCAGUUUAAGCGGAAACAAUGCACUAAAAUUUGGCUGUGUGAUGAAUUAUUGAUGCAGAGGCCGAGUGGUGUAAACUCUUCCUUCAUCUAGAGCUAUGAAGUAUUGAAGUUACAAUGCAUAGAGCAGGUUACCAGGAACUCUAACACCUUACUCAACAACACAUAGCAACUAAUAAGAGUAUAAACAGCACAACACUUAUACGGUAGACAUCAUGCCGUGGUCACCUGGAAAAGCAGGCAUCCUUUGAUCAAGGUACAAGAACUUGAACGACAGCUAUAAUAUUGACAGGCAACACUUAUAACAGUAUAUAUCCAUCUGUACAUUGCAUACUGAAUUGUGCUAGUGACAUAACUGAUGCAUAGAACAUGUGCUAGUGACCCGCAAUAGCAUGGCAGGAGGAUAUCUUAACUAGUACUCCCUCCGUAAACUAAUAUAAGAGCGUUUAGAUCACUUAGUUUACGGAGGGAGUAUGAACUUUAGAGAAAUGUUGUAGAGUAUUGUGAUUCACCUGGAAUCUGGCUUGAUCCCAGAAAUGACGGAAGCACACAUGGCAAGAACACAUUUGACCCGCAAUAGCAUGGCUGGAUACCACUGGCCAACACAGAUGACUGAGCAAUGAUCCUGUUCCGGCGCAUGUCCACGCUAACAGUAACUUCAGCGCCCAAGUUGAGGUACAGCAAGUCAGCGGAUCAAUCGCACCAACCAAAGGCCUCUCCUUGGCAUCCAGUGACACCUGGUGCUCCAACGCCCAGCGGCCGCUCUCGUCGUCCAGCACGAAUGACCUGAUCUGGUAGGGCGCCUCCAUGGAAACCUCGACAUACAGCAGCUUCCCGUCGCUGACACCCAUGCGCCUGUAUUUGAUAAGGUCGCAAAUCUCUGCGUGCGAUUGGCGAGGAAGGGCGCUGCCGGGAGGCAGCUUGACGUGGCGGAGCUCACACUUGUCACUGAACGGGUCCAUGGAGAGGACGCCCAAGCUCACAUCCACCCACCACAGACGUCCACCAAAGGCCAGCACCUCGUGAUUGAACAAGCGCAUCUCGCGCCCAGGCUGCAGCGGAGAUGGCCGCACCAUUGCGUCCCACUUCCCUGUGUCCGAGGAGAAGCAAAACACCACGAAGCGCCCCUCGCCGUUGAGCUCUGUUAGACUGUAUUUACAUGUAUAUUGUAACGUUGUAUACCACCUCAUUAUAUAUAUAUGUGAUAGGCCACCCCUAGAGGGUUAUGCCGGUUUCCCCAAAGCCUAUUGUCUUACAUGGUAUCACGCUAGGUUACGUCCGCUUCCGCCUAAAAACCCUAAACCGCCGCCGCCGCCGCCGUCGCCACCGCCGCCGCCGCCGCGCCCGCCGUCGCCGUCGCCCGACUGCUAUGACGUCCGCCGCUGCGUCCGGCUCCACCGCCACCGGUUUUCUGCCGGCCUCCCUCGCGGCACUUCUCUCGAGGCCGCUGGAUGCCGCCUCCCUUCAGGCGCCGAUCGGGACACGGAGCGUCGGCUCCCUCUUCGCGCUCCCGCCGGCUGCUNNNNNNNNNNNNNNNNNNNNNNNNNNNNNNNNNNNNNNNNNNNNNNNNNNNNNNNNNNNNNNNNNNNNNNNNNNNNNNNNNNNNNNNNNNNNNNNNNNNNNNNNNNNNNNNNNNNNNNNNNNNNNNNNNNNNNNNNNNNNNNNNNNNNNNNNNNNNNNNNNNNNNNNNNNNNNNNNNNNNNNNNNNNNNNNNNNNNNNNNNNNNNNNNNNNNNNNNNNNNCGCCCGACUGCUAUGACGUCCGCCGCUGCGUCCGGCUCCACCGCCACCGGUUUUCUGCCGGCCUCCCUCGCGGCACUUCUCUCGAGGCCGCUGGAUGCCGCCUCCCUUCAGGCGCCGAUCGGGACACGGAGCGUCGGCUCCCUCUUCGCGCUCCCGCCGGGUGCUACUUCGCCCGGACAGGCGCUUGUGGCCCACACCGCCGCCGCCCCGUCAACCGCGGCUGUCGCGCCCUCGGCCACUGCGCCGCUGGUGGCGGAGGACGUCGCGCUGGCAGGCUUCGCGGCGUCAACCGCGGCCAUCGCGCCCUCUGUCACCGCGCCGGCUGCCCCUCUGACUGUCUCCACGGUGGUCUCACCUCAGCCAGUCUCCUCGAUGGGAUCGCAGCCGUCGCCGCCGUUUCACUUCGGCCAUCUCAUCACCAUCAAGUUGUCGUCGGACAAUUACAUCUUCUGGCGCGCGCAGGUUCUUCCGCUUCUUGGGAGUCACUAUCUGCUUGGCUAUGUCGACGGCUCUCUCCCUUGCCCUCCUGCGCUGGUUGACAGCGUGCACGGUCCGGUCUAUAAUCCGGCUCACCGUGUCUGGACAGGGCAGGAUCAGGCGAACCUCUCCUCCAUCCAGGGGUCGCUCUCUCCGGCCGUUGCUGGGCUUGUUGUCUUCGCCAAGACGUCCCACGAGGCAUGGACUAUUCUUGAGCGCUCGUUUGCGGCACAGUCGCAGGCUCGUGUAUCUGGGCUUCGUCGCCAACUUGGGGAGUGUCAGAAGCUUGACUCCACCGCCACUGAGUUCUACAACAAAGUCAAGAGUCUCGCCGACACGCUGGCCUCCAUUGGACAGCCCCUCACCGACUCCGAGUUCAACUCGUUUAUUGUCAAUGGUCUUGAUGAGGAGUAUGACGCCCUAGUCGAGAUCAUCAAUGAGAGGGGCAACUCCAAGCCCAUGCCAGCACACGAGGUCUUUUCACGCCUCCUGCUUACUGAGCAACGAGUCGAGACGCGCCGAUCCAGGGGCAACGGCGCCCUCUCGGCAAAUGCCGCCACCAAGGGUGGUCGCUCCUCUGCUUCAUCCAGGGCUCCUUCGGGGCAGUCACCACCACCCGCCUCGGCCCCUCCUCCUACUGCGAUGCUACCAGGGGCUGGCGGUCCAUGUGUGUGCCAGCUUUGUGGUCGCGAUGGGCACUGGGCCUCGAAGUGUCACAAGCGCUUCCAGCGGGGUUUUCUUGGUCUCGGCAAUGACGGGAAGGAUACACGCAACUUUGCUCGUCAGGUCGCCAUGGCUGAUCGUCCGCGCCGCAGAAGUCACAGGGACACAUUCAGUCCUACUCCAGUGAUCCCCACUGGUACAUGGACUCUGGGGCGACAGAGCACCUGACCAGUGAGAUGGGGAAGCUUCACACUCGUGAACCCUACCAUGGCUCCGACAAGAUCCACACCGCCAAUGGAGCAGGUAUGCACAUCUCUCAUAUUGGUUAAGCAUCACUUCUCACUAGACAUGCCAAUAGGAGUCUUCAACUUCGCAAUGUUCUUCGAGUUCCAUCUGUGACACGUAAUCUUCUUUCAGUUCCUAAACUCACUCGUGAUAAUAAUGUGCUUUGUGAAUUUCAUCCUUUUGAUCUUUUUAUUAAGGAUCGGGGCACGAGGGACAUUCUUCUUAGUGGGCGGCUCUGCCAAGGUCUCUAUCGUCUGGAGCAUCCUGGCGUCGCUCGCGUCUUUAGUGGAGUUCGGGUAUCUCCGUCACAGUGGCAUGCUCGUCUUGGUCACCCGGCCACACCUAUUGUCCGGCAUGUUUUGCGUCGUCAUGAGCUUCCUAGUGUGUCUAGUAAUAAAGAUGUAGCAGUGUGUGAUGCUUGUCAGCAGGGGAAGAGUCAUCAACUUCCCUUUUCGGAGUCCAGUCGUGAGGUGAAACAUCCUUUAGAACUUGUGUUUUCAGAUGUAUGGGGUCCUGUUCAGACUUCUGUUAGUGGUCAUAAUUACUAUAUCAGUUUUGUUGAUGCUUACAGCCGCUUUACCUGGCUUUAUCUUAUCAAACGUAAAUCUGAUGUGUUUGACAUUUUUGUUCAGUUCCAAAAACAUGUUGAACGCCUUCUCAAGCACAAAAUUGUUCAUGUUCAGUCGGACUGGGGUGGCGAGUAUCGCAACCUCAACUCCUUCUUUCAGUCGCUUGGGAUCACUCACCGUUUAGCAUGUCCACAUACACAUCAGCAGAAUGGUUCAGUAGAACGUAAGCAUCGUCACAUUGUUGAAGCUGGUCUGACUCUUUUGGCCCAUGCAUCUGUUCCGUUUCGUUUUUGGAGUGAUGCUUUCACCACUGCAUGUUUUCUCAUCAAUCGUACUCCCACUCGUGUUUUGAAUAUGAAGACUCCCAUUGAAGUUCUCCUUAAUGAACAACCGGACUACACCUUUUUCAAGGUGUUUGGGUGUGCUUGCUGGCCCCAUCUCCGUCCAUAUAACAAGCGUAAGCUCGAGUUUCGUUCCAAGAAGUGUGUUUUUCUUGGUUAUAGCUCUCUUCAUAAAGGAUACAAGUGUCUUCAUGUGCCCACUAAUCGUGUCUACAUCUCUCGGGAUAUUGUGUUUGAUGAGCAUGUUUUUCCCUUUGCCAAACUCCCUGUGUCCACUACCGAGCCACCUGUCAUGCAUUCAUCCUCUGUUGCUUCUGACCAAUUUGAUGAUGUUGCAUAUUCUCCUCUAUUGUUGCCUAACCAUGGUGCAGGCACUGGUCGUGGGGCUCGUUUGGAGAUUCUGGAAGUGCCAUCUUCCUCUUCGUCGCCAUCGCCUUCAUCCUCGGCACCUUCUGUUGUGCAUGAGGAGCACAUGGCGCCCCUGCAUGGCCUCGGUUUCCGUGCUCAUGCACGGCCGAUCGACGCCCUGCCCCGGUCGCCUCUGGCUUCUGGGCUGCCUUCGCCAUCGUCGCGCCCUGCAACCCCGCCGACUGGGCCGGCCUCCUCGGUCCCCGUCUCGCCCAGGACGUCGGGGCAGUCAUCACCAGGCCUGGCCUCGCCCGCCCCUGCCUCGCCCAGGGUGUCUGGGCCCUUCUCACCAGGGCCGGCCUCGCCUGCUCUCGCCUCGCCAAGGCCGUCUGGGCUGGUGUCACCGGAGCUGGCCUCGCCCACUCUCGGUUCGCCCAUGGCCUCUGAGCCCCUGUCGUCGGGCCAGUCUUCGCCAUGCAGCCCGGAGUCGUCUGUCCCGAGCUCGCCUGAGGUGAUUCCUGCAUCUCCGGCGACCGUCACGUCUCCGUCACCUUCGCCUCCGCCGGCUCCUGCUGCUGCUCUACGUCCACAUACGCGCAGUCGGAGUGGCAUUUUUCAGCCUAAGCAACGUCACGAUGGCACAGUUGCUUGGUUAGCGGCGUGCAUGUCUGCUGCUCUCGUAGAUCCAUCCUCUGAGCCACGCACGUAUCAAGCUGCUAUGCGCAUUCCUCAUUGGAGAGAGGCCAUGGAGCAGGAGUAUCAAGCGCUUCUUCGCAAUCAGAUAUGGACUCUUGUUCCUCCACAAUCACGGGUAAAUGUCAUUGAUUCCAAAUGGGUUUUCAAAGUGAAGAGGCAUUCUGAUGGGUCCAUUGAGCGCUAUAAGGCUCGUCUGGUUGCUCGUGGUUUUCGACAGCGUUUUGGACUUGACUAUGAAGACACCUUCAGUCCAGUGGUCAAGCCUACUACCAUCAGACUUCUUCUCUCUCUGGCUGUUACUCGAGGUUGGUUUCUUCGUCAGCUUGAUGUUCAAAAUGCUUUUCUUCAUGGUGUCUUGGCGGAGGAGGUUUACAUGCGCCAGCCUCCGGGUUUCUCUGAUCCGGAUCGCCUUGAUCAUCUCUGUCGUCUGUCCAAGGCAAUUUAUGGUCUGAAGUAGGCUCCUCGUGCUUGCCAUGCUCGUCUUGCAAUGGCUCUUCGUGCUCAUGGUUUUGCAUCAUCAACUGCUGACUCCUCAUUGUUUCUUCUUCAAAGGCCUGAGGUUACUAUGUACUUGUUGGUCUAUGUAGAUGAUAUCAUUUUGGUCAGCUCCUCUCAGUCGGCUGCUACUGCGCUUGUUCGCUCACUUGGUGCUGAUUUUGCGGUCAAGGACCUUGGGAAGCUUCAUUACUUUCUUGGUGUGGAGGUUACUUCUCGUGAUGCUGGCCUUGUUAUGACGCAGAAGAAGUACUCUCUGGAUUUGUUGCAGCGAGCUGGGAUGCUUAAGUGCAAACCGACGACUACACCCAUGUCUACCACUGAUAAGCUCAAUGCUGUUGAUGGUGUGCUUCUUUCUUCUUCUGAUGCGACAGAGUACAGGAGUAUUGUUGGUGGGCUCCAGUACUUGACGAUCACGCGACCAGACAUUUCCUAUGCUGUUAACCGAGUCUGCCAGUAUCUGCAGUCACCCCGUGACACUCAUUGGUCUGCUGUUAAGCGGAUUUUGCGCUAUAUUCGUUUCACGAUGGCUCAUGGUUUGCAUAUUCGGCCGUCUGACUCUGGUUGUCUUUCAGCAUAUUCUGAUGCAGACUGGGCUGGCAAUCCGGAUGACAGGCGAUCCACGGGGGGUUAUGCUGUCUUCUUUGGCUCUAACCUGAUUGCCUGGAGUGCUCGGAAACAGGCUACUGUCUCGCGUAGCAGUACUGAGGCUGAGUAUAAGGCUGUGGCCAAUGCCACAUCAGAGAUCAUCUGGGUACAGUCCUUGCUUCAGGAGUUAAGUAUACCCCAAUCACAGCCUCCUGUUCUUUGGUGUGAUAACAUCGGUGCUACAUACCUUUCUGCAAAUCCGGUAUUCCAUGCCCGAACGAAACACAUUGAAGUUGACUAUCACUUUGUGCGUGAACGUGUCUCUCAGAAGCAACUACAGAUCAAGUUUAUUUCUUCCAAGGAUCAACUUGCUGACAUCUUCACCAAGCCAUUGCCUUUGCCACAGUUUGAGACUUGCAGGCGCAAUCUUACCCUUCUAGAUUCAUUAGAAAGUGGCUAAGAUUGAGGGAGGGUGCUAGACUGUAUUUACAUGUAUAUUGUAACGUUGUAUAGCACCUCAUUAUAUAUAUAUGUGAUAGGCCACCCCUAGAGGGUUGUGCCGGUUCCCCCCAAAGCCUAUUGUCUUACAAGCUCUAGGAGCUCAACAACGGCGUACCUCUUAGGUGGCCCGUGCCCGCCGUCUGCUUGGGUGAGCAGGCCCGUGGCCGUCUGCAAGAUCUCCUUCAUGCCCAAGUAGUCCGGAAGGCGGACCAGCUGGCCAGUAACGGGGUUGCACACGUAGCACACGAACUCCUUCUCGACGGCCUCCUCCAUGACCACCUCGGCUUCCUGUUCCGUGGGGCGGGCCAGGUUCAGCCCCGCGGCCGUGUGGGCGCUCAAACGGAUCCUCGUAGUCUUCAGGAGGAGAUGGCAGUCCUGGCUCGCGGCGAAGAUGACGCUGGCGUACACGUUGACGUACCUGCGGUCGGGGUUGCGCUUGCGUUCCUCCGGGUCGUACGCCCGCUCGGGGAUGGAGAAGAGAGUGGCCGACGGCGGCGGCGCGAGCGAGAAGGACGCGCCUUGCGUGUAGUUCGGCGUCUCCGAAAAGCGGUAGAUCAUCGCCCAGGGAGGGUUCGAGGCGGCGGUGGAGAGGGAGCGGCGGAUGUGGCCGGGCAGACGGCGGAGCGGGAGCAGCACAUCGGCGGAGGCGGAGACGGAGACGGCAACGGCGCGGGAGAGGUGGCCGGAGAGGCGACGGAGAGGGAGCAGCAUUUUGGUGGAGGCCGGGGCGGCGAUGGAUUUGGUAGCAGGCGAAGAGGAGACCGCACCGGAGAGGGUUUUGGGUGGUUUUGGGGAGAGUGGGAGGGAGUGGGGUGUGGUGGAAUGGCUGCCGGUCGGAGAAGCCGAGGAAGGAGGGGCAGGCGCUUUGCUCUGACACAACGUUUCGUGCAAGUUUCCCCAUCCCAUGUGCUUCUCUGCCCGGUAUGCUUCCGUUGGAUACUGGGCUGCAAGAUUUUGGAUUAUGAUUCGUGAUCUACGUGAGUGACAGAUUGAGACUACUCCUAUCAUCGACACACACUGCAGAGUAGGACCUAUCAGUGCUGAUGCAAGAUACAGGUCACCGAAAAUUUUGAAAUUGAUUGUGCUGUGCAAUACUAUGCAAAUACCAACAAUUUUCGGAAAUCUUAUUUGGAUGACAUUCUGUGGGAGAGUAAUGGAAAACGACCCCCUUUUGAUGGCAGUUUUAGUUCUGAGACGAGAUCAAACAACGACAAUUUUAAACGGAAAUUUGCAUUCUCUGACAAAAACUGCCAUGAUGUUAUGAUGAGCUGUCAUUCCUCAAAACUAAAACUGUCAGCGAGAUCAUUCACAAAUGCCACCCCUCCCGACGAACGUUCGCCAGCUAAGUGGGUCCAUAAUUUUUUAGAAUACAUAGGAAAAGAUUUGGAAGUUGGUGUUGAGAAACGAAAUACUCCCUCCUGCCAUAAUAUAAAAUGUUAUUACAACCAAUAUGUACUAAAUUGCCUGUUGUGAAUGCAUCCAUCAAAUCUCAUUAAUUGUCUAUCAACACCCUGACAUGUGGGGUCCAUCAUUCAAAUACUGGAUGUGUGUGAUAGUUUCGAGAUUAUUUCUCCAGUACAUCCAGACUAGCUAAUUUUUCAAGGUAGCGGUCAAAUUUCUAUCAAGCUUUGUAUGUAGACUUGCAUACCUCUUCGUUAUGGCAAUCAUAUCACUUCAUUCCACUCCAUUUCAACCAUCACUCCAUUUAUUCUAGGGAGUCUCAAGGCAAGAGAAAAAAGGAAGUUGUCGAGUGAUUCCAAGAACACGUCCUUGAUUCUACAAAGGCCUGAAUUCUCUUUUUCUUGAACCCCCAAGUGCUUCUCUCUUCUUACACCAAUCAUAUCCUUUGUUAGAGAGAGAGAGGUCCUAUGUGUUUCCGGAAGUGCACUGAUUGGAGAUCUUUUGAGUUCAUCCAAGUGACUUUUCUUUGUUUAUUACUCUUGUUGUAGGGUGUGUGCCUCCUAGAUAGCUAGGAGUUACUUGAGAGUUUUCAAUCAUUAUUGUGAAUCAAUCAGGAGCUUGUACACACUACUAGGGAAAAGCCUAAAUGUAGUGCCGGUUUUAGGUAUAGCAGUAGCGCGGGGGACCGCGCUACUGCUACGGCGCUACAGCUAGACGGUAGCAGUAGCGUGGGUUUGCCCGCGCUACUGAUAUACCUACUUAGCAGUAGCGCCUUUUCUAGAACGCGUUACUGGUAGUUACUAGCAGCGCGCCUUUCUAUACGCGCUACUACUAUUAUUAUUCUAUUUCUUUUCUGUUUUAUGUCAUAUUCAUACACCAUUAUACAAGUUUUCAUACAGUACCAAUUUAGAGAUUGUUUUACAUCAUAAUGAGUUAUUACAUCAUUGGGUGAAAGAACCGCGGAUUUUGGUCACUUUGGAUCCAUCCACUUGAGACUAAUCCGCGGACCCAAUGAUAUAAAAACUCAUCAUCAUCAUCAUCAUCAUCAUCAUCAUCAUUAACAACUUAUCAUCAUAAUACAUCAUCAACUCUAACACAUUGUACCACAUAAUAAAAACUUCUCAUCAUCAUCAUAGUCAUAAUCAACACUAACUAAUUGUUCUUAAUACCUAGGACCUACUCCUCUCUCCUAGGUAAAAUACCAUAAAAGAGAUAAACCGGUCCAUCUCCAUAAUGGAGAAUGGAGAUAAACCUAUCUCCAACUUGUGGCUUGCGUACAAUCAUGUUGUCUCCAAUUAAUUGCGUGUGCGCAUUCAUCACUUUGCUCCAUUCUUUGAUUUUGAGCCUUCCACCAUUUAAAAAAAUCGAGUAUGUAGUAUAGAAAGCUUUCGAAGGAUUUGGUCGUAAGUUAAUCAUAUGCAUAUAACCUUCGGUAAACAACAUAUAAGGCACAACCUCCUUCGGGAGCGUCUAUUGAAAAAUUUAAUAGUAACAUAUAUAGUUAGCAAUGUAGUUUAUAUACUUAAGAAGAAUGUAUGCAAUAAAGUUACAUCAUUAACAAAACCUUACCAAGUUCUUGGCAAUGAAGUUGCCAUCAUGCAAUUUAUGCACUAAUGGCACGUAUCCAGUAAAAUUUAGGAGGAUAGAAUGACUGGUUUUAAAGGCCUCAACAUCAUCUAUGAAUGAGACAAGAUAAACUUUCUCCUCACAAUUAAGCUCGGAAUCAUAGCUGUAGUAUGUCUUGUCUACAACCUUCCGAGUAUUUUUUGGAAGAUAAGAAAUAAGCUAACAAUUAUAAAUAAAGAUGGUUAGUACCGAUGAACACCAAAUAUUUUAAAAUUACCAAUAUAAAUUACUUAACUUAACAAAUUAGUUUGACAAACUCACAUUUAGACAAAACUGGAGGCAUAUCCACAUCCACCUAGAUAUCGAUAUUAUCAUCAUCAUCAUCUUCGGGACGAAUAUCAAAUUUUAUUUGCAUACCCUCGUCUAAUCCAUAUGCCUUGCAGAGAGCUUCCCAAUUAGAGCAACCGAAAUGGGAGUGAUUGUCCAUAUUGAACAGCUUAACUAGAAACACAUAACCAUGUUUAGUUCUUAAGUAAGCCCUCCUCGUCUCCGUAUUCUCAAAGUCUUUGAAACCGAGCUUCUGCAAUACAUAUGGUCUUGCAUGGCACGGGAUGUACUAAUCGAAUUGGAAAAAAAAUCCAUGAAUUAAAUGUUGACCAAAAGAAGCACAAAUGAUGAUGAAAUGCUUGUCGUUGCGUACCGUACAAACAUCAAAGGUCUCGUCCAGCUUCACGAUGAAAAACCUAUCAUUUUGCAAUUGAGGAUACCUAUCGCACAAACCCGGUCAUCGUAGCAGUAAUCGCACUCUGGGAUCCUAUCAUCAUCAGACAUCUCCUGUGUUCAAAAUUGAAAGAUUAAACUUCUGAAUUUCAAUAUAUCUACCGCAAAAACUAAAUUCGAUCAUCAAUAUUCAUCACGGGUUGACUUUCAGUCUAUUGAGACUUUUGCUAAAAAUUAUCAUCUCACGUGGUGUAUAUGGUGGGCACUCCCUCUCUCAUAUAUUCGACCGUCGGUGAUGGUCGCUCCGCCCUUCGUCCCCGAGUGCAUUACACCAAAUUAUCUAGCACACGGGAACGAAGGAGAAGCGACCCCCACGACAACACUCGGGAUUCUUCUUCAUCUCUGACAUUUGUGACCAUUGGUGAUGGUCGCUCUUCUCUUCCUUCUCGUGCAUUACCAAAAGGUCUAUCACGAGAAAGAAGAGGAAGAGCGACCCUCACGACAACAGUCGACAUUAUUCUUCUCUCAUAUAUGGUGGACACUCCCUCAUUGUUUUUUCACUGUCAUGGAUGGAGUCCCAACAGACUUAAAGUCAACCCAAAAUGUCGUUUAAUGCUCUUUCCGGCAAAUCCAAGACACUCGAUAUUUCUUACAUUCUAGCACAAGCCAUACUAAAAUUCACGGAAAAAUCUAGCAUGACCUUUUCUAAAAAGGACAUAUCGAGCGCCUGAGAUUUGCCGGAAUGGAAAUUAAUCAAUACUCCGGCAAAACAUAGGCCACUCUGAGGUGUUCCCUGCAAACAUAGGCCACUUGGGCAAGCACAUAUCCUAUUUGGCUACAUCAUCAUCAUCGACAUCAAUGACAUGGGGAUUUGGCUGCUCUCACCUCAAGGUCGAAGGGGUCGGUUUCGGGGACGACAACAGGGAUGAUGCAGGGGCUCCUUGGUUUCUGCAAAAACAAAAUAUAAACCCUAUAAGCUAUCAACUAAACAUUAUUAUGCUAAUUCAAAAGACCUACAUUUACUAAAAAUUCAAUAUAUCUUAUAACUUGAAUAUUUCAUUUGGUUAAAAAUCAUAACUAAUGUUUCUUACUAAAAAUUUCCAUACCUAAAUUUUCUUACUAAAAAUUUCUGUUACUAAAUUUCUCAUAUGGCAUAGCAUUGCGAUACAUUUCUAUAUUGAAAAUUUUGUAUACCUAAACAAUUUCUAUUACUAAAAUUUCUAUUCAAAAGACCUAAAAUUUUUGUUACUAAAUUUGUAUACCUACAUUCAAAUUACCUACAUUCUACAAGAACAAGAACAUGGAAGGGAUGGAUGGAGGGAGGGAGGGAGAGGAGGGGAAGGAAGGAGGGAGGGAGGAGNNNNNNNNNNNNNNNNNNNNNNNNNNNNNNNNNNNNNNNNNNNNNNNNNNNNNNNNNNNNNNNNNNNNNNNNNNNNNNNNNNNNNNNNNNNNNNNNNNNNNNNNNNNNNNNNNNNNNNNNNNNNNNNNNNNNNNNNNNNNNNNNNNNNNNNNNNNNNNNNNNNNNNNNNNNNNNNNNNNNNNNNNNNNNNNNNNNNNNNNNNNNNNNNNNNNNNNNNNNGAAGAGGUGCCUCACUGGCGGUGGCGUGCCAGCGACGGUGGGGGGUGGUGGCGCGCGGACGGCGGCGGUGGGCGAUGGUGACGGGGAUGGCGACCAGGGAAUGUGAGUGAAAGUGUGUCGUGAGGGAGAGAAGGAAACGGGAGGGACGACCAUAGGAUAAUGUGGUUUUUGCAGUAGCGCGAGAAGCCAAAAAGCUCUACCGCUAAAACAUUAGUUGUAGCGCGUUUACAGGAAAAGCACUACUGCUAAGGCAAAGCAUGUAAAAGUACAUUAAAAAUACAUUGGUCAUAAAAGAUCUUUUUGUGUAGAAUUUGAAUUGUCAAUAUGAGUCCUCACCGGUCUAGGAACCGAUGAAGACUCAUAUUGCGGCCACAAAUCCUACACAUAGAGUUCAAUGAAGACCAAGUGGUUGUGAUAGUUUGAGAAGUAACAUAUUUAAGGUGGUAAACCAUGCUACUGGUAAGAUUCUGUGUAUAAGAUUAUCCCUAGUAGUGACAAGGUAUGAAGUCCUGCAAGUUCUACCCCAAGUGAUGGGAUUUUGGCGGUUCAUGAUGGGUUCUUGGUGUUUUCAUGAGAUUGUUCAAGAGGUUAAGGUUCAAUGUCAAAAGGGUGUUGUUGUAGGGUGGAACCCUAGGUGAAGAUCUUUCACGAAUUGGAGGGGGAAUCCCCAGGAACAAGAUGAACACAAGAGGGAAAACAAGAGGAACACUCAAGAACAAGUCCAAAUCACACAUCCACUAGACCAACAAACACACAAGAUCCACAAGGUACAUGAACAAUCAAAGGGAAAUAAGAUACAUGGUAGAGUUCAUCCCAAAUCCUAUGAAGGAGAUGAGGGCUUGAUUAUCCUAUGAUGGGGAUCCUUCCCCAAGGCGGAGGUCUUGAUGAUUGGUCACUCCAAGAGGAGGUCUUGAUCUCCUAGUGGAGUGGAUCCAUGGAGCAAAGCUCACAAAUGUCUAUCAAAUACUUUGCUAUCCCACAAAUGACCUAGGAGAUGCCCUUAUAUAGUCUAGGGGCGGACUAGGAGGAGGAAAAGAGAUUACAUGGGCAAAAACCCAAAAAGACACGGGCUGUCCCGGAGGGGUCCGGGCACCCGGGCACUUGGGGCCUGGCACCCGACCUACUCAGGGGUGCGGCUGGGAGAGGCCGGGCACCCGGGGGUGCAGCAGGAGGCUGACUGGGGUGUGGCCGGGCACCCGGGGCCUCAAGCCCGGGCACCCGGGGUGGCGCCCAGCGGCAGACGGCCGAGGGCCGGGCACCCGGGGGCCCAAGUCCCAGGCACCCGAGUGGGUGGCAGGUGGCUGGGCUAGGGGCCCGGGCACUCGGGGCCGGCGUAGCAGCGCCCAGGGGAGGGGGGGGGGGCACCCGGGGUGUCCAGAGGGUUUCGCCCCUUGCUCCUUUCCUCAUUCUUCUCGUUCUUCUCCACCUCCUGCGUAGGUCUCCGGUGAACUUGGUGAUCCCUUCGUGCUUUCUCGUGACGAUCUCCAAAGUACCUAAGCAUGCACAACGUUUCCAUAUGAGGUAGAGUCUGACUCUCAUGUGAAUCCCAAAGAAACUCGAAGAGGAAAGAGUUCACCUCGGUUCCGAUGGCACGUGCGCGAGCUCUCGUCGUAGGUCCUCUCCGUGCUUGCGGUGGCGAUGUGACGUCCAUGGUGAUGGUCGAGGGAUGCUCUGCAUCAUCUCCCCCCUCCUUGGGAGAGAUCCGUCCACGGAUCGUGAUCUUCAUCACCAUGGGAAGGAGACGGCGUCGCCGUGUAGAAGUGGACGACCACCAAGCACGUAUCAUGUUGAAGCUCGAAGUGGGCACUCUCCAAUGUUGCACCGUCUUUUAAUACCUUCAAAAGGAGCAAAGAUAACAAGCACUUGGAAAAGCAAAUGUGGUUGGCAUUAAAGCAAAACCAAGCAUUCAAGAGGUAAUUCACCCAACAAGUGUUGUCAUCAAGCAUAGCAUAUGGUGUGACAAGGGAGUGUGGCAUGGCAUGUAAGCACGUAACUUGAGCACAAUCAAGGACAUCAUGGAAACAAGCAUGUAAAUGUGAGGUAAGGAUGCUAAAACGGUUGAUAAGAGAACAAGCAUCAACCUCAAGAUCAUAGCAAGCAUGCAUAAAGUGCUCGAUAAAUGGUCUAUGGUAUGCAUAAGAAUCAUUCACAACACCCAAGAAGAUUAUAUGACUAAGCAUAUGCAAGUGCAAGACAAUCCGAUCAUAAUGUGCACAUGGUGUAGUGAAGAAAGUGUGGCACUCAACACAAAUGAUAUAGCAAUUGUUCAUCAUGUGUGAGGCAAUCAAAUCAAUCAUGUGACAAGCAAUGGGACAUGGCAUAUGUGAAGUAAUGACAAUGUUGCAACCAAACAUAAGAUAGGAGCAAGUAAUCCAAGAGGUGGAUGCAACAUGAGAAAGCAUAGAAAUCAAGUCGUGCAAACUAGUGGAGCGAAGAUGCAACACACUAGAGGAAAUCAUGGCAAUCAUGUCAUGUGAGCAAAGAGUAGGCAUAGGCAAUGCACAUGGCAUAUCACAAGCACGAUUGCAAAGCAAGAUAUCAUCAUAGGAAUGGAGCACAUAGCAAACAUGGCAAUAACAAGCAAUAUCUCCACCAAGCUUGCAAAUACACAUAAAGUAGUAGAAUCAAUCAUCAUGUGUAAUGCAAAGCAUGGGUCACAAAUGCAUGGCAAAUGCAUAUGAAUGAGCAUAUCAUGCAAAGUGAACAUCGCAAUAUGGGCAUAAAGUGAGAAGUGCUAAAUAACCCAUAACCAAGUGAGAGCCAUGUAGAAGAAAUGCGCGAAAUCCUUGCGCGAAGAGAGCGGUGGGAAAGACAAUCCAUGUGAUCCCAAGUCAUCGUCUCUCUCUAGAGCUCGUUUUGUCAACUCAUGGGAUUGUGAGGUUGACAAGUAUUCAUGGGUACCUACACAAAAGAAACACAAACCAAAGAAAUUGUGCGCGUGGUAAAUGUACACAUCAUCCAUCAUGAUGUGUAUGUGCACAUGUGAGUUAGCACAAGAUAAGCAUCGCUCAAAGAAAUUUGAUGCAUGGUAUAAGAACAUGUCAUCCAUCAUGAAAGAAUAGUUAUUGUGUAUGACACGAUGGGGAUGCAAAUUUAGAAUAGAAGUAUAUGGCACAUCACUAGCAUGUUUAUUCAUGGGAAUCAUAUUGUGCACACAAGUAUUGGGAUCAUGCAAUGGAUAGGAUGAAUCAAAAUCUCCUAAUAUGGAUGAGGAAACUAUGGGGGUCUCCUCAUGAGCAAUAGCAGAAACAUCAUAUGGAGAAAAUGGAGAACAUCCAAAACAAUGCAUAUCCGAAGCUAGGUGGUCAUGGCAUGGCAUAUGAGAUAAAUGAUGCAAAUGAAGCAUAUCAAUAUCAUCACAAGAAAAACAAAUGCCAAUAACCAUGGGCUUGUCAUCUAUGCCAUAUGUGCAAAUUGGGUUUAUGUUGAUGGCAUAUGCAUAGUCACUAAGAUGAGAUUGCAAAUAAGACAUAUGAUUGAUCUCAUGCAUAGCAUAUGACAAGUCAAGCGGAUUAUCAAACAUGAUGUGACCAAGAGAAUUAUCACAAGAAAUCCUAUGUAACAUGGCAUCACAACUACUAGACUCCGCAUGGCAAUCAUCAAACUCAUCAUAAAUGGGUAAAUCAUCGCAUGGGGAAAUCAUACUAGCAUGGAGCAUGGUAAUAAGUGGAUCAACAUCAUGCAAGCAAUCAAUGUCAAGAACGUCCACUAGUGGGACAAGAGCAUCACCUUCACCUAUGUUACCUUUCUCGUUCCACUCAAGUGGUGUAGGUGAGGUGGGGAAGACCAAAGCGUGGUCAACAUCAUCAUCGUGAUGGAACCAUGUGGGGGUGCAUCAUAGUCCACCAUUGCCAUCGUCUUGUCCAUAGGAAGGACGAAGUCAUCACGGAUCGACGCAUCAUCAUAUAUGGGACCUAGCACCAAAUGAGAAGACACAAUAGAGGUAGAGGUUAAGUUGUUAGAAAUCGAAAUGGCCUCACAUGUCGUAUCAACUACCUCACUCUCUCUAUGUGGUGGUGGCUCACUCACUCCCUCAAGGUAGGUGCACUCAAUGUCACAUAUGGCGGAGUCACUCAAAUCACUCAAGUGGUGGUGUUGGUGGCUCUCCUCACAUGGGAAUUGGGGCAACUCGUCAUAUAUGGGGCUAGUGGUGAAGUCACUCUCACUCUCAAUAUGGUGGCACAAGUCACUCAAGUCAUCA
This 17547-nucleotide long non-coding RNA is filed under the name Triticum aestivum (bread wheat). Its description in RNAcentral is "long non-coding RNA (TAES_LNC022672)". Lineage: Eukaryota; Viridiplantae; Streptophyta; Magnoliopsida; Poales; Poaceae. The record is from RNAcentral.